This 253-nucleotide ribosomal RNA is filed under the name uncultured bacterium. Its description in RNAcentral is "partial 16S ribosomal RNA". It matches the Rfam family "Bacterial small subunit ribosomal RNA", at positions 524 to 776 of the family's 1533-position model. The record is from RNAcentral.
GACGUAGGGUGCGAGCGUUGUCCGGAUUCAUUGGGCGUAAAGGGUGCGUAGGUGGCGCCGUAAGUCGGGUGUGAAAUUUCGGAGCUUAACUCCGAAACUGCAUUCGAUACUGCGGUGCUUGAGGACUGGAGAGGAGACUGGAAUUCAUGGUGUAGCAGUGAAAUGCGUAGAGAUCAUGAGGAAGACCAGUGGCGAAGGCGGGUCUCUGGACAGUUCCUGACACUGAGGCACGAAGGCCAGGGGAGCAAACGGG